AGGGUUUGAUUAUGGCUCAGGAUGAACGCUGGCGGCGUGCCUAACACAUGCAAGUCGAGCGAAGCGGUUUUAAGGAAGUUUUCGGAUGGAAUUAAAACUGACUGAGCGGCGGACGGGUGAGUAACGCGUGGGUAACCUGCCUCAUACAGGGGGAUAACAGUUAGAAAUGGCUGCUAAUACCGCAUAAGCACACAGCUUCGCAUGGAGCAGUGUGAAAAACUCCGGUGGUAUGAGAUGGACCCGCGUCUGAUUAGCUAGUUGGUAAGGUAACGGCUUACCAAGGCGACGAUCAGUAGCCGACCUGAGAGGGUGACCGGCCACAUUGGGACUGAGACACGGCCCAA
RNAcentral lists this ribosomal RNA (344 nucleotides) under uncultured bacterium. RNAcentral's name for it is "bacterial SSU rRNA". It matches the Rfam family "Bacterial small subunit ribosomal RNA", at positions 8 to 334 of the family's 1533-position model. The record is from RNAcentral.